This 429-nucleotide ribosomal RNA is filed under the name bacterium. Its description in RNAcentral is "partial 16S ribosomal RNA". It matches the Rfam family "Bacterial small subunit ribosomal RNA", at positions 355 to 776 of the family's 1533-position model. The record is from RNAcentral.
UAGGGAAUCUUCCACAAUGGACGCAAGUCUGAUGGAGCAACGCCGCGUGAGUGAAGAAGGUUUUCGGAUCGUAAAGCUCUGUUGUUGGUGAAGAAGGAUAGAGGCAGUAACUGGUCUUUAUUUGACGGUAAUCAACCAGAAAGUCACGGCUAACUACGUGCCAGCAGCCGCGGUAAUACGUAGGUGGCAAGCGUUGUCCGGAUUUAUUGGGCGUAAAGCGAGCGCAGGCGGAAUGAUAAGUCUGAUGUGAAAGCCCACGGCUCAACCGUGGAACUGCAUCGGAAACUGUCAUUCUUGAGUGCAGAAGAGGAGAGUGGAAGUCCAUGUGUAGCGGUGGAAUGCGUAGAUAUAUGGAAGAGCACCAGUGGCGAAGGCGGCUCUCUGGUCUGCAACUGACGCUGAGGCUCGAAAGCAUGGGUAGGGAACAGG